Molecule: ribosomal RNA, 430 nt
Filed under: bacterium
Lineage: Bacteria
Description: partial 16S ribosomal RNA
Rfam family: Bacterial small subunit ribosomal RNA
Source: RNAcentral
UGGGGAAUUUUCCGCAAUGGGCGAAAGCCUGACGGAGUGACGCCGCGUGUGGGACGAAGGCCUUCGGGUCGUAAACCACUGUCAGUGGGAAAGAAGGAUGUCGGUGCUAAUACCACCGGCAUUUGACGGUACCUGCAGAGGAAGCCCCGGCCAACUCUGUGCCAGCAGCCGCGGUAAGACAGAGGGGGCAAGCGUUGCUCGGAAUUACUGGGCGUAAAGGGCGCGUAGGCGGGAUGGCAAGUCGGUCGUGAAAUCCUUCGGCUCAACCGAAGAACGUCGAUCGAUACUGCUGUUCUUGAGGGUUGCAGAGGAGACUGGAAUUCCCGGUGUAGCGGUGAAAUGUGUAGAGAUCGGGAGGAACACCGGUGGCGAAGGCGGGUCUCUGGGCAAUUCCUGACGCUGAGGCGCGAAAGCGUGGGGAGCAAACGGG